AUUCUGCUGCAACUUUGUUCUGCUGCUAACUGCAGACACACAUGGAGGAAAUAAAACCAUGUGCACAUCAACAGUGAUGGAAAAGAAUGGUAGCACAGUAUGGCUUGCAUGGAAACCAAAACAAGUUGUACACUUUGGCUAUUCAGAAGACUUCUACGUCCCAUGAAGUAAGGCCCGGCACGAGGGCUGCCGCCCCUGCGAACGAGCGGUUCUCAGCUCCACGCGGCCGAGCCCCGAGCAGGGAGGAGGCAGCAGCCGGCUGGAGUGAGAGUCGGGGAGAAAAAGAGAGGAGGGUGCUCAGGCACGCGAUAUUGCCUCAUCGACUUUCGCCCGCCCCCAACUCCACGGACCAAAAAAAUCGCGUUUCCUCCUUCGGCAACGGCAGUCCUCUUGGGUUUCCUUAAUAACUCAAGCCAGAGGGGCAUUCCUCGAAAAAAAUAUAUUUUUUUUUUUCCCCGAAACCGAGAUACGGCUGCGUCCGCAACCGCCGCCCCGGCGGGGGUCCCGGGGCUCUUCCCACGAACCGCUUCCGCGGGGCCGGGAGCACACCCGGCUGCCCGCCCCACCACCUGGCCCCUUCCCUCUGUCCUCCAGCCGUCAGCAUCCGAAGACGAUUCGCUGGACGUGUCCCCGGGCCCCCGCACGGCGCUGUGAGCCGCGGGGUCGUUCGGCUGCCUGCGCACGAAAGCCCCAUAUUGCCCCUGCCUGCCGGUAGCCGCUUUCCCGUAAUUUCCAUUAUCCGAAGCACAUCGCGUGUUCUCGCUGCAGCCACUCCGGGGUGAGCCACGCGCCGCUGCCCGCGGGCUGUAACACAGCAUCAGCUGCCGUGGAGUUCCCUGCUUUGAUUUGUUUGGCGUUUGGAUGCUGCGGUUGUUCACUGUUUAUUAUCCCGGGUUUGUUUUCGAGUCAGUGACACUUCGAGUCUGAAUGCUUGUUAUUUACAGUUCUGGAGAGAGGCUCAUGAGACGUCCAAAUAAGCCCCGGUUAUGGAAUUGGAAACCAUCAUUUCCGUAGGCGUACAGGUACAUAUAUGAAGCCAGCGACGAUUCGAAGCCCAGCAGGAGAAAAACAACGUGCAAAGGCACGAUGGAUAACGCAAAGGUCUAUUGUGGCUUCAUCAUCUUUCUUCAGAUCGCCGACCUACCGCGGGAGGCCGCCUACAAUUUUAGCCUCUGUCACCACGAGGAUAUACGAGACGAUCUCCUAAACGCUUUCGAUGAGCGCAUGACCUUCAGCGAGGGGCCGUUGCUCGAUUUUCACACCUGCGAGGACGCGUCCGCGGGCCCGCAGCUGUCCGAGGACGCCCGCCGGGCGCAGCAGGAGGGCCGCCUGCUGGAGUGCGUCCUGGACGGGGCGCGGG
Molecule: long non-coding RNA, 1360 nt
Organism: Gallus gallus (chicken)
Lineage: Eukaryota; Metazoa; Chordata; Aves; Galliformes; Phasianidae
Source: Ensembl